Molecule: non-coding RNA, 31 nt
Filed under: Rattus norvegicus (Norway rat)
Lineage: Eukaryota; Metazoa; Chordata; Mammalia; Rodentia; Muridae
Source: RNAcentral
UGGAACCGGAUUUCUUUUCUUGUUGCUCCAA